UGCUGCUUUCCUUAUGUCUUAUCUCUAUUUCUGAGGAAUCUCUUGUACACAAAUAGAUGUGUCCAGAUAUGAUCAUUCGGGUCCACACCCAGAUGAAAAUGUCUAGUUUCUCUCGGAUUACCAAAACAUUCCAAUUGCUCAAUCAGAUUCGACUGACAGACAUGACCAACGGCUUUAUCGCUUGUGUGUGAGUAGAUUUUAUUUCCCUUUAUUUUUUUUCACACUUGAGCCCACAUCAAAAGACUGAAAGCUGUUCAAAGAAGGUGGAGAAAAUGGCUUCCGGUCUUCAUGUGAGCUAAUCCAAGCCAGGUGGAAGACAGAGGAAGGAAUGAAGACUGAUGAGAGACUUGAUUUACAGAUGGAGAUCCGGUUCCUGCCAAAUCAAGGUCCUGCUCCACUUCUGCUCUGUUUUACAUGCUGAAAUUUCUGUUCCAGCCAGCUGGGAUUUGGCAGUAAGCUGAUACAUCUAAAAAACGUUCUAGGAUAAUCAGCUGAAGACACAAGAAAAGAGGAAACUUCAGGCCACAACUGCUUUAAAGAAGACCUAUCAUUUCUGCCGCAAUCUGAGCUCUGUAAUAAAAAUGCUUCUAUCGGACAAAUUACCCAGCUAUGGUCUUGCACCUGAUAUAAAUCAGAUGGGGAAAAAAUUCCACCUACUGCUCUAAUAAGCAUUUUGCUUGGCAUUCAUGCAAAGAUCAAACAUUUACCCUGCACUCUUGUGUAGAUAGUGUUUGUGUGCCAACAUUACAGCCUGGUAAUGAAAGAAGUAAAGUAAGCUCCCUGCUGGUUAUGAUGCAUGUUUUGCUAACUUUAUUCUUUUUUAUGCUUUGAUAUACAGGACAUUAGCAUUCAAGAUGAAUCCCCCUGAAAGCUACAAACAGAAAAAAUUGUUGGCACCCCUGGUACAGAUGUGCAAAAGAGCAUUAAAAUAAAUUCAUAGUAGCAUAAUCUCACGUUGAAGAAUUAUGAAAGAAACCAGCUUUUGAUUUGAGUAUAUACUCCAGAUAAAACCCCUUGUUGUCUUUUACAGAAUUACCUGUGGCACAAUUGUUGGUACCUCUAAGAAUCUGUAUAAGUGUAGCUGAGUUUUUUUUUUUUUUUUUUCAUUUAUAUUUACUUAGAUAAAAUGAUAAGAGUUUGUUGGAUUUCUUAAAAAGUACUUCUUGAUUUGUUGUUUCCCUAAGGUAUAAAUAUGAUGCGACAUGAAGGCCUAUGUCUUUUGGCCACCAGCAAUUAGGCUUGACAAGUACCUGUAUUUACGAACACAAGUCAAGUUAAGACUCAUGGAUUUGUCCUGAUGAUGACACUAGAGCCCAAGUGAUACAUGGCGUGAAAGUUCUGAAGAAGUUCCACAUCUGCUUUGAGUUACAUAUGAUGAGGCCUAAUCACCUUCAAAUCAAACCUAAAAUCCCUUGUAAGUAUGUCUGAGAACCUUUUAGCUCAUUCAUAGUUUUUCAUCAAUAGUUAUGGAGCUAACAAAAUAGCUCCAUGUGCUAGCAUAUGCAAUCAGAAGCCAUUUGUUCACUCAACCAAUGUUUAAAAGAUAAAAUAGCUGGCUUGUUGAUUAUUUUCUCGUUUAAUGUAUAAGUGUUAAUGUUCCUACACGUUUAUCCAUACCUGCUUUAGGAGAGACUGUUUGUUCACAUGUAAGAAUGCUGGUCUGAAAGUCUUGUACAUAAAUUAUUAAGAGUUCAGGACAGGUGAAAACUAAGUCCUGUCCAAUUUGUGCAAAUGACUGUCUGCAGGGGUGCCAACAAUUGUAUCAAAAGUAUCUUUGUUAAAACGCAGAGAUUUCUUAACAUUACACAUUACAUUUACACAUCUUUGCAGUGACCAGACAUGGCAACAACAGAAGAGGAUCCCUUCAGCCUUAUUUUGUGUGUUCUCAUGUCGGGAUAACAGUAUGUAUGUCAACAAUAGCUCAAGAUGAGAGAGGUGUAAAAGUGAAACAGAGGCCCAACAAUACAAGGUUUUGCUUUGACUAUGACAUGCUUAUCAAAUAAAGCAUCAAUAUCACACUC
Girardinichthys multiradiatus is the source of this 2021-nucleotide long non-coding RNA. RefSeq lists it as uncharacterized. Lineage: Eukaryota; Metazoa; Chordata; Actinopteri; Cyprinodontiformes; Goodeidae. The transcript is spliced from 3 exons. The record is from RefSeq and is a predicted model, not a curated record.